Molecule: long non-coding RNA, 604 nt
Organism: Alnus glutinosa
Lineage: Eukaryota; Viridiplantae; Streptophyta; Magnoliopsida; Fagales; Betulaceae
Exons: 2
Source: RefSeq, a predicted model, not a curated record
UUUCUCUUCAUUUUUCUCUUUCCUUUUCUCUCUCUCUUUUCUCCCUUCUCUUUUGGACCGCACGGCUUUUCUCCCUCUCCCCAACGCACGUUCCCUUCUCCUUUCUUCUUCCUCUUUCAUUCUUCUUUUCCUUUCCUUCUCUUCCGCACACCAGCCCCUCUCCCCCAUCUCCUUUUUCUCUUCGUCCCUCCCCGUCACACACACGCACCCCGAAAGAUGAGACACAGAGAGACCAUGAGAAUGAAGAGCAGAUCAUGAGAGAGAGAUUUUGAGAUGGUGAGUGUGAUGGGUUCCGGCCAUGGAUGGUUUUUGAGGCUCGUGUCAUCAUUGGAGACUUUAAUUGGUUCUCCGAUGUUGUGUCCAUAUGAUUAGAAUCCAGUGGGAUGUUUGAGUCAUGAGUCCAAUGCAGCCAAGGUGAGUAUUCUACACAUUGAGAAAAGAUAUUUUUCGUAUUUUAUAGAAAUGCAAAUGAUAGAUGAUUUUCUACUGAACCGACGAUAUGUUAACAUGUAUGCUUUGAAUGUUUUAAGUAGUUUCAAUUAUGUUGAAAUAUCAAUGAUGUUAUGAAAUGAUGCAUGAAUGAAAGGUUUUGAAUUGAUUUAAA